Molecule: small RNA, 364 nt
Filed under: Spisula solidissima (Atlantic surf clam)
Lineage: Eukaryota; Metazoa; Mollusca; Bivalvia; Venerida; Mactridae
Description: cnRNA6/119
Source: RNAcentral
CAACUGNAACUAGAACAAUAGACAACGAAAGGUAAAAAAGAACACACAACAAAGACAAAUACAUAUUUCAAGUGCUAGUCUUAAGGMCAAACAACAAAAUGAACAAGAAAAAAGAAACUGCACAUUGGCAAAAUUCAAGUACCCCACUCCGACACCUUGCUGCUUCAGUCGGUCAAAAAUAAGCAGUGUAAGAAUAAGCAGACAAAAACCAAUCACAAAGACAACCAAACAAAAACAAAAAAGCAAAGCAGAACCCCGACAGAAAAGUAUACAUGCAAUAUUGGAAAAACAGAGCAGCCUUAUGCUGAACUUCACAGCUGCAAAAUGGUACAAACGGACAAUAAUAGAACAAUACAAAGCUAAC